This 468-nucleotide ribosomal RNA is filed under the name uncultured bacterium. RNAcentral describes it as "partial 16S ribosomal RNA". It matches the Rfam family "Bacterial small subunit ribosomal RNA", at positions 28 to 507 of the family's 1533-position model. The record is from RNAcentral.
GACGAACGCUGGCGGCGUGCUUAACACAUGCAAGUCGAACGGAAAGGCCCUGCUUUUGUGGGGUGCUCGAGUGGCGAACGGGUGAGUAACACGUGAGUAACCUGCCCGUGACUUUGGGAUAACUUCAGGAAACUGGGGCUAAUACCGGAUAGGAGCUCCUGCUGCAUGGUGGGGGUUGGAAAUUUUCGGCGGUUGGGGAUGGACUCGCGGCUUAUCAGCUUGUUUGUGGGGUAGUGGCUUACCAAGGCUUUGACGGGUAGCCGGCCUGAGAGGGGGACAGGCAACAUUGGAACUGGGAUGCGGCACAGACUCAUACGGGAGGCAGCAGUGGGGAAUAUUGCACAAUGGGCGGAAGCCUGAUGCAGUAACGCCGCGUGCGGGAUGACGGCAUUCGGGUUGUAAACCGCUUUCGCCUGUGACGAAGCGUGAGUGACGGUAAUGGAUAAAGAAGCACCGGCUAACUACGUG